RNAcentral lists this non-coding RNA (212 nucleotides) under Jeotgalibaca ciconiae. Lineage: Bacteria; Bacillati; Bacillota; Bacilli; Lactobacillales; Carnobacteriaceae. The record is from RNAcentral.
GAACUCUAAACCCAACGGGUGAAAUGAUAGAGUAACGUCUAGAAGCGCCCGCUCUGAUACUCCGACAUGCUCCAAUCUAGGUAUGCAAGGUUGCGGUGUGAAUCUCGGUGAAGUCGGCUGAAAAUUACCGUCUGAUGAUUCUCAUUCAUGGUGAACGUCAAUGAAAUCUCCUCAGCGGUGAGGGGUGUAAUCGAUAGGCCGGGAGUCGUAAA